RNAcentral lists this ribosomal RNA (255 nucleotides) under uncultured bacterium. RNAcentral's name for it is "partial 16S ribosomal RNA". It matches the Rfam family "Bacterial small subunit ribosomal RNA", at positions 524 to 776 of the family's 1533-position model. The record is from RNAcentral.
CACGUAGGGUGCGAGCGUUGUCCGGAAUUAUUGGGCGUAAAGAGCUCGUAGGCGGUGUGUCGCGUCGGCCGUGAAAACUUGGGGCUUAACUCUGAGCGUGCGGUCGAUACGGGCAUCACUUGAGUUCGGCAGGGGAGACUGGAAUUCCUGGUGUAGCGGUGAAAUGCGCAGAUAUCAGGAGGAACACCGGUGGCGAAGGCGGGUCUCUGGGCCGAUACUGACGCUGAGGAGCGGAAAGCAUGGGGAGCGAACAGG